RNAcentral lists this long non-coding RNA (959 nucleotides) under Physcomitrium patens. RNAcentral describes it as "long non-coding RNA (PPAT_LNC000198)". Lineage: Eukaryota; Viridiplantae; Streptophyta; Bryopsida; Funariales; Funariaceae. The record is from RNAcentral.
ACCAUAAUUGGCAAAAAAAGGUGUUUGUUACAUAAAAGAAUGCACUGUAUUAUUAUAAGUAAAUUGUGCCAAUGGCAGAAGAGUUAUCUAAUCAUCUUAUUAAUAUUUGAUGGUACAUCUUAAAUAUUUUUUGAAUAGAUAUUAGUUCAUUUUUGUAAGAUAUUGAUAAAAUAAACUAGUAGUCUAUAGAAUAGUCAGUUUAGGAGGACUGAUGAUUGAUUUAGUUAUUAAAAGCGAUUAUUAUAGGAUUAUGGUGUCAUAUUGAGAGGUCUUACUGUAGGAAACACUGGAUUAUUUUUGCAACUAAAUGACCAAGGAAGAGUCUAACGUCGUUUAACACAUCCAAAUCCUAAAAUCAGACCCUAAAAACCCUAAAAAUCCACUAUAUAUUCUUUCCUCCCACUACCUUCAAAAUCCCGAAUUUAUUAUUCCCCUUAACUCCUAAACUAGAGUAUAUAUGAGAGUCAGUUUUGGAUAUGUUAGAGGCGACAAGAUAAGAAAUCAAACCCAAAAAGAAAUUUUGAAAAAGGUCAAGUACUCUAAGAGAACCAAGCUUUCAAAGUUACUCCCCCCCCUGCAGCUAUAAAUUCUGUACCCCUUCUCACUCAUUUCUUCGUAUCUCCUAGCUCACAGGUUGUAUGGACUUGAGAUUUGGAUACAGUAUUCUUAACUUUAUUAGAAACAAAACCCAACAAAUUUCGCCUAAAAAGUCCAAGUGGUCACUAAGAACCAAGGCCCCGAAAUUCACUAAUCCUCACUGCCCUAGUCUUAGACACCCGCAACUUUGACGACCCAUAUCUCCCUUGAUACUUGAUCAAAUCACAUGAGAUUUGUCUCUAAUUGUUUCUCACUUUGUCUAUUACAAACCCACAAAAAAUCGCAUUCAAAAUCCUCUCCUAACUCAUUCUACACACAAAAAUGUUCUACUGAAAUCCUCCUUCUUCCCCCUCUGCUCUUCU